AGUGAAGCGGCAACAGCUCAAAUUUGAAAGCUAGCCUUCGGGUUCGCAUUGUAAUUUGUAGAGGAUGAUUUGGGGAAGCCGCCUGUCUAAGUUCCUUGGAACAGGACGUCAUAGAGGGUGAGAAUCCCGUAUGUGACAGGAAAUGGCACCCUAUGUAAAUCUCCUUCGACGAGUCGAGUUGUUUGGGAAUGCAGCUCUAAAUGGGAGGUAAAUUUCUUCUAAAGCUAAAUAUUGGCGAGAGACCGAUAGCGCACAAGUAGAGUGAUCGAAAGAUGAAAAGCACUUUGGAAAGAGAGUUAAAAAGCACGUGAAAUUGUUGAAAGGGAAGCGCUUGCAAUCAGACUUGUUUAAACUGUUCGGCCGGUCUUCUGACCGGUUUACUCAGUUUGGACAGGCCAGCAUCAGUUUCGGCGGCCGGAUAAAGGCUCUGGGAAUGUGGCCUCCACUUCGGUGGAGGUGUUAUAGCCCAGGGUGUAAUACGGCCAGCCGGGACUGAGGUCCGCGCUUCGGCUAGGAUGCUGGCGUAAUGGUUGUAAGCGACCCGUCUUGAA
This 551-nucleotide ribosomal RNA is filed under the name Aureobasidium pullulans. RNAcentral describes it as "eukaryotic LSU rRNA". It matches the Rfam family "Eukaryotic large subunit ribosomal RNA", at positions 92 to 658 of the family's 3401-position model. The record is from RNAcentral. Lineage: Eukaryota; Fungi; Ascomycota; Dothideomycetes; Dothideales; Saccotheciaceae.